AAAGUCGUAACAAGGUUUCCGUAGGUGAACCUGCGGAAGGAUCAUUAACAAGCCCGUGAAGGUCGCUCUGAGCGAUCUCUCACCAGGCCACCCUUGUUUACUUUUUACCUGUUGCUUUGGUGGGCCUUGCCUGUAAGGCUGCCGGGGAACUUGAGGUUCCUGGGCUCGUGCUCACCAAAGUCCUACCGAACUCUGAAAAUUUUUAAUGUUGUCUAAGCGUUAAAAGCGCAAAAAGGUUUUAUUAAAACUUUCAACAACGGAUCUCUUGGUUCCG
Molecule: unclassified non-coding RNA, 274 nt
Filed under: Ascomycota sp.
Lineage: Eukaryota; Fungi; Ascomycota
Description: partial contains small subunit ribosomal RNA, internal transcribed spacer 1, and 5.8S ribosomal RNA
Rfam family: Eukaryotic small subunit ribosomal RNA (bases 1-47)
Source: RNAcentral